CUGCUAUCGGAUUGAUACUAAGCCAUGCGAGUCUUUGUAGUAAUACAAGGCAUACGGCUCAGUAACACGUAGUCAACCUACCCUAUGGACAAGAAUAAUCUCGGGAAACUGGGCAUAAUUCUUGAUAGAUCAUAAUGCCUGGAAUGGUUUAUGGUUAAAAUGAUUCGUCGCCAUAGGAUGGGACUGCGGCCUAUCAGCUUGUUGGUGAGGUAAUGGCCCACCAAGGCGAUUACAGGUACGGGCUCUGAGAGGAGAAGCCCGGAGAUGGGUACUGAGACACGGACCCAGGCCCUAUGGGGCGCAGCAGGCGAGAAAACUUUGCAAUGUGCGAAAGCACGACAAGGUUAAUCCGAGUGAUUUCUGCUAAAGAAAUCUUUUGCCAGUCAUAAAACCACUGGUGAAUAAGGGGUGGGCAAGUUCUGGUGUCAGCCGCCGCGGUAAAACCAGCACCUCAAGUGGUCAGGAUGAUUAUUGGGCCUAAAGCAUCCGUAGCCGGCUUUGUUAGUUUUCGGUUAAAUCCAUGUGCUCAACGCAUGGGCUGCCGAAAAUACUGCAUAGCUAGGGAGUGGGAGAGGUAGACGGUACUCAGUAGGAAGGGGUAAAAUCCUUUGAUCUAUUGAUGACCACCUGUGGCGAAGGCGGUCUACCAGAACACGUUCGACGGUGAGGGAUGAAAGCUGGGGGAGCAAACCGGAUUAGAUACCCGGGUAGUCCCAGCUGUAAACGAUGCAGACUCGAUGAUGCAUUGGCAUAAUAGCCAGUGCAGUGUCGCAGGGAAGCCGUUAAGUCUGCCGCCUGGGAAGUACGUACGCAAGUAUGAAACUUAAAGGAUUGGCGGGGAGCACCACAAGGGUGAAGCCUGCGGUUCA
Molecule: ribosomal RNA, 869 nt
Filed under: uncultured marine group I thaumarchaeote
Lineage: Archaea; Thermoproteati; Nitrososphaerota
Description: SSU rRNA
Rfam family: Archaeal small subunit ribosomal RNA
Source: RNAcentral